Molecule: ribosomal RNA, 549 nt
Filed under: uncultured Glomeromycotina
Lineage: Eukaryota; Fungi; Glomeromycota
Description: SSU rRNA
Rfam family: Eukaryotic small subunit ribosomal RNA
Source: RNAcentral
UUGGAGGGCAAGUCUGGUGCCAGCAGCCGCGGUAAUUCCAGCUCCAAUAGCGUAUAUUAAAGUUGUUGCAGUUAAAAAGCUCGUAGUUGAAUUUCGGGGUCAGUAGGUUGGUCAUGCCACUGGUAUGUACUGGUCUCACUGAUUCCUCCUUCCUGAUGAACUGUAAUGCCAUUAAUUUGGUGUUGCAGGGAAUCUGGACUGUUACUUUGAAAAAAUUAGAGUGUUUAAAGCAGGCUAACGCCUGAAUACAUUAGCAUGGAAUAAUGAAAUAGGACGUUCGAUCCAAUUUUGUUGGUUUCUAGGAUUGACGUAAUGAUUAAUAGGGAUAGUUGGGGGCAUUAGUAUUCAAUUGUCAGAGGUGAAAUUCUUGGAUUUAUUGAAGACUAACUACUGCGAAAGCAUUUGCCAAGGAUGUUUUCAUUAAUCAAGAACGAAAGUUAGGGGAUCGAAGACGAUCAGAUACCGUCGUAGUCUUAACCAUAAACUAUGCCGACUAGGGAUCGAAUGAUGUUAAUUUUUUAAUGACUCAUUCGGCGCCUUACGGGAAAC